UACGGGGGGGGCAAGCGUUGUUCGGAAUUACUGGGCGUAAAGGGCUCGUAGGCGGCCAACUAAGUCGGACGUGAAAUCCCCAGGCUCAACCUGGGAACUGCGUCCGAUACUGGAUGGCUUGAAUCCGGGAGAGGGAUGCAGAAUUCCAGGUGUAGCGGUGAAAUGCGCAGAUAUCAGGAGGAACACCGAUGGCGAAGGCAGCACUCUGGGCCGGUACUGACGCUGAGGAGCGAAAGCAUGGGGAGCGAACAGG
RNAcentral lists this ribosomal RNA (253 nucleotides) under uncultured bacterium. Its description in RNAcentral is "partial 16S ribosomal RNA". It matches the Rfam family "Bacterial small subunit ribosomal RNA", at positions 524 to 776 of the family's 1533-position model. The record is from RNAcentral.